Molecule: long non-coding RNA, 527 nt
Organism: Salvia miltiorrhiza (redroot sage)
Lineage: Eukaryota; Viridiplantae; Streptophyta; Magnoliopsida; Lamiales; Lamiaceae
Exons: 3
Source: RefSeq, a predicted model, not a curated record
CCUACCACUAAUCUUUUUCCCUACCACUACUCCUACCUCUCCACCACACUACUCCUUUUCCCCCACCACUACAUUCUUUCUCCCACUCUCACAACUUUUCUCCCACCAUUAUCACACUCCAUAGAAGCCUUUGAAGCCCCAAGAGAAGUAGCAAAGCAAGGGAGAGUGUGGGAAAACUAUAGAGUGAAGGUUGUGCUUCGAGGGUCCGGGCGACAGAAAGUGAAGCCGAAGAAGAAACGACUCCACGCCAGCUUUAAGAACAAUUGAGGUUGAGCAGGCGAUGGAAUGGAUCGGUGUUGAGCGGAUUUCCCUUUUGAUGUUUAUGUAAUGAAACCUUGAGUAUGCAUCUUCAUAUGCAUAACUCACACGUUUUUUUCGCUGCAAACACUCUGACUUAUUUAUCAUUUCUACUUGAACUUAUUACUACUUCAUUUUAAUUAACUUUCAGUUGGGGUCUAGUCGUUAUGGCAGACUCAUUUGUGAAUUACCCAAGUGGUUAUAUAUAUAUACCACUAGUUUGUUAUUAA